RNAcentral lists this ribosomal RNA (482 nucleotides) under uncultured bacterium. RNAcentral describes it as "bacterial SSU rRNA". It matches the Rfam family "Bacterial small subunit ribosomal RNA", at positions 29 to 506 of the family's 1533-position model. The record is from RNAcentral.
UUGAACGCUGGCGGCAUGCUUUACACAUGCAAGUCGAGCGGCAGCGCGGGGGCAACCCUGGCGGCGAGCGGCGAACGGGUGAGGAAUACAUCGGAACGUGCCCGAGAGUGGGGGAUAACGCCGCGAAAGCGGCGCUAAUACCGCAUAUUCUCUGAGGAGGAAAGUGGGGGACCGCAAGGCCUCACGCUCACGGAGCGGCCGAUGUCGGAUUAGCUAGUUGGUGAGGUAAAGGCUCACCAAGGCGACGAUCCGUAGCUGGUCUGAGAGGAUGAUCAGCCACACUGGGACUGAGACACGGCCCAGACUCCUACGGGAGGCAGCAGUGGGGAAUUUUGGACAAUGGGGGCAACCCUGAUCCAGCCAUGCCGCGUGCGGGAAGAAGGCCUUCGGGUUGUAAACCGCUUUUAGUCGGGAAGAAAAGAUACGGGUUAAUACUCCGUGUUCUUGACGGUACCGGCGGAAUAAGCACCGGCUAACUACGU